RNAcentral lists this ribosomal RNA (253 nucleotides) under uncultured bacterium. Its description in RNAcentral is "partial 16S ribosomal RNA". It matches the Rfam family "Bacterial small subunit ribosomal RNA", at positions 524 to 776 of the family's 1533-position model. The record is from RNAcentral.
UACGUAGGGUGCGAGCGUUGUCCGGAAUUACUGGGCGUAAAGAGCUCGUAGGUGGUUUGUCGCGUUGUUCGUGAAAACUCACAGCUCAACUGUGGGCGUGCGGGCGAUACGGGCAGACUGGAGUACUGCAGGGGAGACUGGAAUUCCCGGUGUAGCGGUGAAAUGCGCAGAUAUCGGGAGGAACACCGGUGGCGAAGGCGGUUCUCUGGGCCUGACCUGACGCUGAGGAGCGAAAGCGUGGGGAGCGAACAGG